CAGAACGAACGCUGGCGGCGCGUCUUAAACAUGCAAGUCGAACGAUCUGUAGCAAUACAGGGAGUGGCGGACGGGUGAGGAACACGUAGGAAUCUACCUAGAAGAGCGGGACAACCUUGGGAAACCGGGGCUAAUACCGCAUAGUACAGUGAUGUUAAAGGGCUAGCAAUAGUCGCUUCUAGAUGAGCCUGCGGUCUAUCAGCUUGUUGGCGGGGUAACGGCCCACCAAGGGCUACGACGGAUAGCCGGUCUGAGAGGAUGAUCGGCCACACUGGCACUGAGACACGGGCCAGGCUCCUACGGGAGGCAGCAGUUAAGAAUCUUGCGCAAUGGACGAAAGUCUGACGCAGCGACGCCGCGUGAAGGAUGAAGGCUUUCGGGUUGUAAACUUCGGUAGACUGGGAAGAAAAAGUAAGUUCGUUGAGGGCUUACAUUGACGGUACCAGUCUGAAGCCCCGGCUAAUUACGUG
RNAcentral lists this ribosomal RNA (470 nucleotides) under uncultured bacterium. RNAcentral's name for it is "bacterial SSU rRNA". It matches the Rfam family "Bacterial small subunit ribosomal RNA", at positions 25 to 507 of the family's 1533-position model. The record is from RNAcentral.